This is a long non-coding RNA of Perca flavescens (yellow perch), 726 nucleotides long. RefSeq lists it as uncharacterized. The record is from RefSeq and is a predicted model, not a curated record. The transcript is spliced from 3 exons. NCBI's taxonomy places the organism in Eukaryota, Metazoa, Chordata, Actinopteri, Perciformes, Percidae.
UCAGUGCAGAUAGUAUCAUGCUGGUGUUGAGCACACACUCUAAAGGGUAUAGCCAAGUGCUUUUUGAUAGACUUUUGUUUCCUCAAGCUCUUCUGUACUAAUUAUGCAGCUCCAAUUGUACUGCUGAAAACAACUGGACUCAACAUUAGACUGUGAAGCAACAUCAAGACCUUUUUUUUUUGCCUUCACUGCCUGACCAAGUUACUGGUGCAGGUAAUCGGGUUGGAAAUAUCACAUAGGCUGAACAUAGACAACAGAAUAAGUAUUUACAUGACAUCAAGUUCAUGUUGAUGAUGGGCAUUUCUUGAGGAACUAAGUCUUUCCAUCUAAAUGCGUUUUAAGUGUUAAUUUUUUUGAGACUUCAAGUCUUCACAAGGGACCUCUUCUGGUCAAAAGAAAUUCUUCCUUUGGGAAAGAGGCUAAAAAUGCUGUUGAACUGCAGGAAAAAGAUUUGGAUAUUGGCAUCAUGGGAUGAUCGUGAGGAUGAUGGAUGUGUAUAAAGCAACCAGAACGUUCUUGAAGGGAAUGGAGGACCUGGAAAUGUGACAUAAAUUUACAAAGAGUGACUGGUGGGACAGCUGCUGUCAUAGACCCAAUUCAGUCAACUGUGUGUGUCAUAGACCCAAUUCAGUCGUGUGUGUGUCCCAUUAAAAGGUGGUCAUGUGUAUUACAAUUUUUGCAUUUCCACAAUACACUUUGAAUAAAAGCACAUGCAUAUGACUUGAA